Molecule: ribosomal RNA, 458 nt
Filed under: uncultured bacterium
Lineage: Bacteria
Description: partial 16S ribosomal RNA
Rfam family: Bacterial small subunit ribosomal RNA
Source: RNAcentral
CCUACGGGUGGCAGCAGUGGGGAAUAUUGCACAAUGGGGGAAACCCUGAUGCAGCGACGCCGCGUGAGUGAAGAAGUAAUUCGUUACGUAACGCUCUAUCAGCAGGGAAGAAACACUGACCUUACGGUCAGCAGACGGUACCUGAUUCCGAAGCCCCUGCUACCUACGUGCCAGCAGCCACGGUAAUACGUAGGGGGCAAGCGUUAUCCGGAUGUACGGGGUGGAAAGGGAGCGUAGACGGUGCGCCAAGUCUGGAGUGAAAGGCCGCAGCUUAACUGCGGAACUGCUUUGGACACUGGCGAACUAGAGUGCGGGAGGGGGAAGCGGAAUGCCUAGUGUAGCGGUGAAAUGCGUAGAUAUUAGGAGGAACACCGGUGGCGAAGGCGGCUUACUGGACCGUAACUGACGUUGAGGCUCGAAAGCGUGGGGAGCAAACAGGAUUAGAUACCCGAGUAGUC